Molecule: ribosomal RNA, 301 nt
Filed under: uncultured bacterium
Lineage: Bacteria
Description: partial 16S ribosomal RNA
Rfam family: Bacterial small subunit ribosomal RNA
Source: RNAcentral
CAGUCGCCACGGGAAUACAGAGGGUGCAAGCGUUAAUCGGAAUUACUGGGCGUAAAGCGCGCGUAGGUGGUUUGUUAAGUUGGAUGUGAAAGCCCCGGGCUCAACCUGGGAACUGCAUCCAAAACUGGCAAGCUAGAGUACGGUAGAGGGUGGUGGAAUUUCCUGUGUAGCGGUGAAAUGCGUAGAUAUAGGAAGGAACACCAGUGGCGAAGGCGACCACCUGGACUGAUACUGACACUGAGGUGCGAAAGCGUGGGGAGCAAACAGGAUUAGAUACCCGUGUAGUCCCUGUCUCUUAUAC